CCCCCCGAGGCCCCGCCCCAUAACGCCAUCACGCAGGCUCCACCCCUAGUUCCCGAGGGUUGCCGGGCGCGAGCGGAAGCCUUGCGUCCGUCCCUUUCCGCGCCUGCGCAGAGAGCACCGGCCUGGAGGGGGCGCCCGUUGCUAGAGGCUGCAGUUGCUAUGGGAGACCUGGCGUCCGACCUGCAACCAGACCAGCAAAAAUGAAAAGGCCUGACAAUACAAAGUGUCACUGUGGAUACCGAACAAAAGGAACUUACAUUCUGCUGUGAGAAUGUAAAUUGGUACAACCACUUGGGAAAGCAGUCCAACAUCAU
Camelus dromedarius (Arabian camel) is the source of this 314-nucleotide long non-coding RNA. RefSeq lists it as uncharacterized. Lineage: Eukaryota; Metazoa; Chordata; Mammalia; Artiodactyla; Camelidae. The record is from RefSeq and is a predicted model, not a curated record. The transcript is spliced from 2 exons.